GUUUCGACUAAGCCAUGCGAGUCAAGGGGUCGCAAGACCCCGGCGUACCGCUCAGUAACACGCGGAUAAUCUACCCCCAGGUGAGGUAUAACCUCGGGAAACUGAGGAUAAUCCCUCAUAGUUAUCAUAUGCUGGAAUGCUUUGAUGACGAAAGCCUUUCGCCUGAGGACGAGUCUGCGGCCUAUCAGGUCGUAUGUGAUGUAAAGGACCACAUAGCCUAGGACGGGUACGGGCCCUGAAAGGGGGAGCCCGGAGAUGGACUCUGAGACACAAGUCCAGGCCCUACGGGGCGCAGCAGGCGCGAAAACUGUGCAAUGCGCGAAAGCGCGACACGGGAAACCUGAGUGCCUUGACAAUGUCAAGGCUUUUCUUAAGCCUAAAAAGCUUAAGGAA
RNAcentral lists this ribosomal RNA (393 nucleotides) under uncultured archaeon. Its description in RNAcentral is "bacterial SSU rRNA". It matches the Rfam family "Archaeal small subunit ribosomal RNA", at positions 37 to 435 of the family's 1478-position model. The record is from RNAcentral.